UACAGAGGUCUCGAGCGUUGUUCGGAUUCAUUGGGCGUAAAGGGUGCGUAGGUGGCGCUGUAAGUCGGGUGUGAAAUCCUGGGGCUUAACCCCGGAACUGCAUUCGAUACUGCAGUGCUUGAGGACUGGAGAGGAGACUGGAAUUCAUGGUGUAGCAGUGAAAUGCGUAGAGAUCAUGAGGAAGACCAGUGGCGAAGGCGGGUCUCUGGACAGUUCCUGACACUGAGGCACGAAGGUCAGGGGAGCAAACGGG
RNAcentral lists this ribosomal RNA (253 nucleotides) under uncultured bacterium. RNAcentral's name for it is "partial 16S ribosomal RNA". It matches the Rfam family "Bacterial small subunit ribosomal RNA", at positions 524 to 776 of the family's 1533-position model. The record is from RNAcentral.